GAUGAACGCUGGCGGCAUGCUUAAUACAUGUAAGUCGAACGAGGUGCUUUUGUCUUCGGAUGGAAGUAUCCUAGUGGCGAACGGGUGAGUAACGCGUUGGUGACCUGCCCCGAAGUGUGGGAUAACAGUUCGAAAGGACUGCUAAUACCACAUGUGAUCGCUUGGAUCAGAUGCCUUGCGAUUAAAGGAGUAAUCCGCUUUGGGAGGGGCCUGCGUCCCAUCAGCUAGUUGGUAAGGUAACGGCUUACCAAGGCUUCGACGGGUAGGGACCUGAGAGGGUGGCCCCCACAAUGGAACUGAAACACGGUCCAUACACCUACGGGUGGCUG
This 329-nucleotide ribosomal RNA is filed under the name uncultured Chloroflexota bacterium. RNAcentral's name for it is "bacterial SSU rRNA". It matches the Rfam family "Bacterial small subunit ribosomal RNA", at positions 28 to 351 of the family's 1533-position model. The record is from RNAcentral. Lineage: Bacteria; Bacillati; Chloroflexota.